This is a long non-coding RNA of Triticum dicoccoides, 5277 nucleotides long. RefSeq lists it as uncharacterized. The record is from RefSeq and is a predicted model, not a curated record. The transcript has 6 exons. NCBI's taxonomy places the organism in Eukaryota, Viridiplantae, Streptophyta, Magnoliopsida, Poales, Poaceae.
CCUUUCCCAUGUCCCCGAGGGAUUUGCCAGUCCCCUCUGCCCGCGCCCCACGCUCGACCUCGAGAACAAGCAAAAAGGUCAAACCCUAGCCGCCAAACCUUCUCGUCCCGAGCCCCGCGCCCCCUUCGCCUCGUCUCCUCCCCGCUCCAUCCUCUCCCAUGCCGCCGCACCCUCUCCUCACACGCCUCAGCGCCCUCCCCUCCUCCCCGUGCCGCCGGCCCCCUUCCUUCUCCCCGCGCUAGAGCAGAGAUGCGCCUCAGUAGGGCAGCAGCAGUAGCGUCUCCAUGGGUGCGGCGGCGUGACGGCUCCCAGGCACGGAUCCCCUCCUCCGCCUCCAUCCUCCACCUCUCCGGUCGCCCAGUUGCAACUUCCGUAGCAGCAGCAGGCGACCUGCAGCAGCUCCUUCCUACCUUCCAUGGACGAGCUCGACGGAGACGCCGUCCAGCCCGACCACGGCCACGACUACCCCACGCACAAGGUCCCGACCACGGCCACGACUACCCCACGCACAAGAGGAAGGUUGAUUCAUUUGUCAAAUUCAUUCCACCGAAGCCAUCUGCUCCCUCCACCAACCCGCCCAGAAAGGUAGUUACAGUGAAUUGAUGUUCGCACUGAGGCCGGAGGCGAGAGGCGAGGGCACGGAGGUCGGUGGCAAGUGCUCAGGAGAGAAGAGGAAGGCGGCAGCGCUGGGCGGUGGCUGCGGUUUACACGAGAGCGAGGUGACCCGCCCAGAAAGCUCUGUUGAUGGAUGAUUUCUGCCAUGUUUAUGGAGGGGGAGGACGCCAACUACUAGGAGAAAGAUCAGUUUAGCAAGUACAUGAUGUAAUUCUCUUAUGAUUAUGGAUUGCUGAGAAGCGCAACCUUUUGAUCUUCGAGAACCGCAAGUUUGCUGACAUUGAAAACACAUUCAUUAUGCAAGACGAAUGGUGAGAAAUGUGUUAUUCCCUAUCCUUCCAUUCUAUUUGCAUAUUCGCGCAGUAUGCUUAGUUUUUUCCCAAGAUGAAUAUUCUACACAUGAGAGCAAUAUACUUGGUAUUAUUGAUGCUCAUAUAAUUCCUGGACCUGGAAUUGUUGAUGGCUUGAGGCUUAAAGUAUGUUAUGUGUUGCAUACCUAAUAAAUAUUAGCAAGCUAAUGUUGCAGCUUGACAGAUGCUGUGAUAACUUCUCCUUUUUCUGUUUUUCAAUAUCCACUUCGAACUGAGCAGCCAUGAUCCGGAUUUCCUCUAUGUAGCUAUGAGAUGCCUGCAGUUUGUUAUUGUGUAUCGUGUACUAAAACAUUGAUUAUUUGACAAUGAACACAUGGAAAUGCCUUAACUAUUCAACUUGCCUAGCUCAGUAUUUUAACCAAUAGAGAAGUUUUUUUUGUUGCUUUCCCUUUUGUUAGAUAUUUUGCUUUUUGUAUGUUGAGGGGAGAUGGAUAUGGCCUCGGGACUAAACGCACAGACCACAUGAAGUGAUCUGAUGGUAGGUAAAGUAUUUUUUAUUGGCAAUGCUAAUGUCUGGACCAGCUCAAUGGUUUUAACUCUAUGAUGUUCAGUUUAGCAUAUCACAUAUACAAAUUCAUAUAUACAAAUUGUGGUAGGCAACUCACUAUUUAGACGACGCGACUAUUCCCUUGAUAAGGAGAGUCCCACCAUACUCAUGUGAGAGUUAGGCGUGGUAGUGGGUAGUGUUUUCUCAUCAUCCAUUAUGUGUUUCUUCUGUCUAGCUCGAAGUUGCUUAGUUAGAUAAUGAUUCGCAAAUUCCAGCAUUGCAUGUUGCCUGACACCUUUGCAUUAGCAUUGAAUUGCAGACUGCAUUUUUGCAGCCCGCGAGGCGUGUAAAUGUUGGACUAUUGUUUCUCCGCUGAUGCACAUGUUUCGCCACACAGACAGUACUCUGUGUGUGUGAUCUCUGGAAUUAGUUUUUAUGUUUCUCUGUGUUUGAGUACUUUUGUAAUCUCCACGGGUGUGUUUCGUAUUUUCUAUGUAUCCUCUGUCAUUCGUUUAAGUGUUUGAUGUUUUCUUUUGUAGUUUUUGAUAUUUAGGUGCAGUCACGUUUCAUUUGUCGCAGACCUGCACCCGUUAGGAAAAUCAUAGUUUCAUUUCGAUCAUGUUUCUUUAAGUUGUUCAGUGUUUGUUCAUUAUGUAGUAGAGCAAGCAGUACAUUUUGUCCAUCAGUUAAGUCACUCAUGUCACAUUCAGUUGAUUGAUUAGGUUUAGUUUUUGUUCCUUUCUCUUUGUUCCUUCAGUUUUUUGUUCCUUUAUUUAGUCAUUGUGCUUGCAUCAUUUGCCAGUAUUUUAGUCCAUCUCAAUAGACCCUAUGAUUCUUGAUAGUUUCUCUCUUUCGUAGAUCAGACUUUUCCACUUUGUUAGUUAGGCUAAUUUAUGAUUUUUUCAGUUUUUAAUCUUUACAUGAUUUAGUUGGACAGUGUGUUUGGUAUUUCAAUAGUUCAGUAGUUUCAUACUUUCAUUUAAUUAAAUAGUCUUGUUUUUAGUCUCAGUACUUCAGGUUUAGUUUCCAAACAAGUACUUUUUGACUCAUGUGGUUUUCGGUCUUUUGACUAUAUGUGGUUCUCAAUCUUUUCAUCUCUCGGUUUACUUGUCAUUCUUAAUUUAUCCGCCUUACUAUUCUCAGUCUUGUCAUUUUUAUAGAGGGUGACAAACUUUUCAUAAUUAUCAGUUGUAAUUUUCUAGUGUCUGCUCUCUCUUUCUUCAAUAUGCACUUCUAUCUUUUUCCUGUUUUCAUUCGUUCUUUCUUUAUCUUCAGUCCCUCAGUCUAUCUUGGAGGUAGGAGAUCGUUGUAUAAGUCUUGUCACUAUUUUCUAUUUUAUCCUAAUUACUUCACCCAUUGUUUGUAUCUCUAUUCCCUGUGAUGCGAGGAGAUUUUUUGGGAGCUGCUUUAUUUAUUCCAUUACUUUUGUUCUCGAUUUUUCUGGAGUCCUUUGCUUCACUCUUUUGCCCCUGAUGGAAACAAGUAUACCUUUUUUCAGUUGCUUCAUUUUUAUGUUGCCUUGUGAUUUUUUCUUUGAGUCUUCUUGAUCAUUCACAUUUGAUGUCUAGAUAAUUAACCUCUACUCCUAUAACCUUUCCAGUCCUUGUUUAGUCAUUAUUUCCCCCUCUUUUUUCUGUAUGUAUAUUCAUAAUGUUCAUGCUUAGCUUCAGAAGUGAAUACUAAGUUCUCCAUUCACUAGAUUUUAUUGUUUCAUGAACAAGGUCUGGUUUUAACCUUAGGUUCAGUUACAUGCAUUCUGUUGCACACACUGUUUUUCGAUCUAUGUCGCUCUAUAGGAUGCAUUUAUUUUCCUCAGUUGUUUUCUUUUUGUUCUUGUGCUGUUUUUCGUAACUGGGACCAUAACACUCACACUUUUUUUGCAUGUAGUCUAUGUUCAUCUAGAAAAACCAAAGGAAGUAGCUUUUCAUUUGGAUAUCCCAAGCAUGGACUGACGAGAUUAUGGUUUGGCAAGCAGAGGUCCACUAGGACUGAGUGACGAACAAGCACAUGAAUGGCUGCAUCUUGUUCAAGCAUGGAUGGAAGAAAUUUCUCCUGAAAACAGGACUUGAGGUUGGUAUGGAUGUACUUACAUUCAAGAUGACCUGUAACAACAUGAAAGUUGGCCUCCAUGACCUCUGAGAGGUUCAUAGGUCCUAAUUGAGGUUGUCUUCCGUUGAUUAUUUUUAUCGCUGCUAUGUUAGCUCUUUUGUGAGGGUCCAAUUUGGUGACCGCCUUAGAAAGAACAAGUUUCAACUAUUGCUAAAGCUAUUAAAUCAAAAGAUUAUUCUUACGUCAGGAGGUUUGCAUCCAAUCUCCUGAAGUUAAUUUGUUAAUAUAUGUGAUCAUGUACCAUGUGGUCCAUAGCAUAUAACACCUUUGUAGUUGACAUAUGUGGCCAAGGAUCUGUACUGAAACAUAUAGAGAAAUCAUCAGAGAUAAUACUAUGAAUGAGAAUGGACUUGGAAAUUGUGAUAAACCUUUCUUUAGGUGCACUUUCAUUCAGAAGGUGAUCCAGGUUUAUUGGAGCAGUACACACUAAGUCGGUAACUGUAAUACAAGGCUUUAUGAAUCUAUCAAUUGAAGUGCAGAUCAACCAAAAUGUCAUAUACAAUGGUUGAAAGCUGAAGACUAAAGACCAUGGAGAAGAUUACACCAUCUUUUAUUCCAAGGAAAGAAACAACAUGGUCACUUGACUUUACAGACAACCUACUACUAUUAACUUCUGUUUAAUUGAUCGACAUCGCAUCUUUGUUAUUAGAUAUAUACUUAGGAACAUGCCUGUGAGUAUAUACUUAGUCUAUGUAUGCGAGACAUUUUUGUUUUGUUUUUCUCCUUAGUUCUAUCCAGAAAUGACUAUUUGUGUCUUUUUAUUUAUUCUGCACGAGCCCUUUUUUUGGAAUUCCUAUGUAUUUCUGACCUAUGUGAAUUUUACUGAUAAUAGAAGAGUUCAAGGGUUACUAACCUUAAAAUUGUCUAUAUAUUAUAAAUGACUAACUGAUAAUAGCAGAGUUCAAGGGUUUGUUAUGUUCUGCAAUUAGCAUUCAUUAGGAAACAAACGGCAACCCUCCAAACUUUUCAGCAACUUAUUCCUAUGUUUGGUGUCCUUUGAUAAUUGAUAGUAUGUUUCUCUUCGGAUAUAUACCUGAGUACUACACUUUUAACUUAUAUGUCCAUGGUCGUGCCUGAAGAUUAUUGUCAUGUUUUUGUGUGUUGUGCUGUCGCCAACUGUUAUCUGAAGCACCCCACUUAAAUGGGUAGGAUUACAGGGAACAUGCCUACUAUGGAUAUGGAGCUCAUUACAUGGCGGAUCAGUGCAAGUUACAUGCUUCAUGGGAAAGAUAGGAAGAAAUUUCUGCUUUGGUGUGAUGGUGGUCUAUGCAAACUGGAGAGGAAUGCGUUGAUUUUUGACAACCAGAUUACGUUGAUUCUGAGGUUAUGAGUUAGCUGAAAGCUAAUGGCUACUGGUUAGGAAUCAUUUAGGUCCUGGCCGUCUUUUGGACCUGCUUUAGUUGUACUCCCUCCGUUUCAAAAUAGAUGACUCAACUUUGUACUAACUUUAGUACAAAAUUAGUACAAAGUUGGGUCAUCUAUUUUGGAACGAAGGGAGUACUUGGCAGUUUCCCUGCGUUUUUCUAGACUACUUGUCGUUGAGUGCUGACCACCCUCUGUUGUUUCUCUGUCAUGCAACUCUCCUACAUGGUUAAAAAACUAAUUUAGACAUUUUGUUUCUUUAACCGUUACUCAUUUCUCUUAUCCUUGUUGUAUCAAAUCAAUUGUGUCAUCAUUGAUGGCCGUUUUUCUUUC